AUAUCUUUCUCGGUCUUUUGGCUAAGAUCAAUUGUAGUAUUUGUUCUUAUCAGUAUCUGAUGUGGGUUACACACCCACAAUGAUAUUAAAUUUAUCUUUUAUGGGGGAGAGUUCACCAUACUAGCUUGCUAGUGGGGCUCUCAAGUGUCACCUAUGCGUUGUAUAAUUGCCUAGGCCUGGCUCACCCCAA
Non-coding RNA from Triticum aestivum (bread wheat), 190 nucleotides. The record is from Rfam. NCBI's taxonomy places the organism in Eukaryota, Viridiplantae, Streptophyta, Magnoliopsida, Poales, Poaceae.